RNAcentral lists this ribosomal RNA (464 nucleotides) under uncultured bacterium. RNAcentral's name for it is "partial 16S ribosomal RNA". It matches the Rfam family "Bacterial small subunit ribosomal RNA", at positions 339 to 795 of the family's 1533-position model. The record is from RNAcentral.
CUACGGGUGGCUCCAGUGAGGAAUUUUGCGCAAUGGGGGAAACCCUGACGCAGCAACGCCGCGUGAGUGAAGAAGGCUUUCGGGUCGUAAAGCUCUGUCAGAUAGGAAAAAAGUUCAUAUGUAAAUAGCUUAUGAAUCUGAUGGUACUAUCAGAGGAAGCACCGGCUAACUCCGUGCCAGCAGCCGCGGUAAUACGGAGGAUGCAAGCGUUGUUCGGAAUUACUGGGCGUAAAGGGCGUGUAGGCGGUAUGGUAAGUCAGAUGUGAAAGCCCUGGGCUUAACUCAGGAAGUGCAUUUGAUACUGCCAUCCUUGAGUAUUGGAGAGGAGAGUAGAAUUCCCAGUGUAGAGGUGAAAUUCGUAGAUAGUGGGAGGAAUACCCGUGGCGAAGGCGACUCUCUGGACCAAUACUGACGCUGAGACGCGAAAGCGUGGGGAGCAAACAGGAUUAGAUACCCCUGUAGUC